This 567-nucleotide small RNA is filed under the name Pongo abelii (Sumatran orangutan). Its description in RNAcentral is "retained intron". The record is from RNAcentral. Lineage: Eukaryota; Metazoa; Chordata; Mammalia; Primates; Hominidae.
UUUUCACUUGAAGACAUUUUGAACUUUUUCUUAUAGGGUUUCUCUGCUGGGCUGUUUGCAUUCUACCAUGAUAAAGAUGGAAAUCCUCUCACUUCAAGAUUUGCAGAUGGCCUCCCACCUUUUAAUUAUAGUCUGGGAUUAUAUCAAUGGAGUGAUAAAGUAGUUCGAAAAGUGGAGAGAUUAUGGGAUGUUCGAGAUAAUAAGAUAGUUCGUCACACUGUGUAUCUCCUGGUAACGCCUCGUGUUGUUGAGGAAGCACGAAAACAUUUUGAUUGUCCAGUUCUAGAGGGAAUGGAACUUGAAAAUCAAGGUGGUAUGGGCACUGAGCUCAACCAUUGGGAAAAAAGGUUAUUAGAGAAUGAAGCGAUGACUGGUUCUCACACUCAGAAUCGAGUACUCUCGCGAAUCACUCUGGCAUUAAUGGAGGACACCGGGAGACAGAUGCUGAGCCCUUACUGUGACACGCUCAGAAGUAACCCACUGCAGCUAACUUGCAGACAGGACCAGAGAGCAGUUGCCGUGUGUAAUUUGCAGAAGUUCCCUAAGCCUUUACCACAGGAAUACCAG